This 2896-nucleotide ribosomal RNA is filed under the name Clostridioides difficile. RNAcentral describes it as "23S ribosomal RNA". It matches the Rfam family "Bacterial large subunit ribosomal RNA". The record is from RNAcentral. Lineage: Bacteria; Bacillati; Bacillota; Clostridia; Peptostreptococcales; Peptostreptococcaceae.
UCAAGUUAUUAAGGGUGCAGGGCGGAUGCCUUGGCACUAGGAGCCGAUGAAGGACGUGAUAAGCUGCGAUAAGCUUCGGGGAGUUGCACGUAAACUUUGAUCCGAAGAUUUCCGAAUGAGGAAACUCACUUAGAGUAAUGUCUAAGUAUCAUUAAGUGAAUACAUAGCUUAAUGAGGGGAACUCAGGGAACUGAAACAUCUAAGUACCUGAAGGAAGAGAAAGAAAUUCGAUUCCGUAAGUAGCGGCGAGCGAACGCGGAUUAGCCCAAACCAAUAAAGUUUUCUUUAUUGGGGUUGCGGACAUAUCAUAACGAAGAGGUAUCGUAAUUGAAGAGGUUUGGAAAGACCCACCACAGAAGGUAAUAGUCCUGUAUGUUAAACGAGAAGACUUCAGAUAUGAUCCAGAGUACCACGGGACACGUGAAACCCUGUGGGAAGCAGGAGGGACCACCCUCCAAGGCUAAAUACUACCUAGUGACCGAUAGCGUAUAGUACCGUGAGGGAAAGGUGAAAAGAACCCCGGGAGGGGAGUGAAAUAGAACCUGAAACCCUGCACUUACAAGCUGUGGAAGCACAUUUCUUGUGUGACCGCGUACUUUUUGUAGAACGGGCCAACGAGUUACGUUAAGUAGCAAGGUUAAGCACUUAAGGUGCGGAGCCGUAGCGAAAGCGAGUUUUAACUGAGCGUUCAGUUACUUGACGUAGACCCGAAACCGGGCGACCUACCCAUGAGCAGGAUGAAGCGAAAGUAAAAUUUCGUGGAGGUCCGAACCCACGAGCGUUGAAAAGCUCGGGGAUGACUUGUGGGUAGCGGUGAAAUUCCAAUCGAGCCCGGAGAUAGCUGGUUCUCCCCGAAAUAGCUUUAGGGCUAGCCUCAAGGUGAGAGAUACGGAGGUAGAGCACUGAAUGUCCUAGGGGGUAUUGCACCUACCGAAGACUAUCAAACUCCGAAUGCCGUCAUCUUAUACUUGGGAGUCAGACUGUGGGUGAUAAGAUUCAUAGUCGAAAGGGCAACAGCCCAGAUCGUCAGCUAAGGUCCCUAAAUGUAAGUUAAGUGGUAAAGGAUGUGGGAUUGCACAGACAACCAGGAUGUUGGCUUAGAAGCAGCCACUCAUUCAAAGAGUGCGUAAUAGCUCACUGGUCGAGUGAUCCUGCGCCGAAGAUUUCCGGGGCUAAAACUUACUACCGAAGCUACGGCAUCAGUAAUGAUGGGUAGGGGAGCUUCCCAUACGGGUUGAAGCAUGACCGUAAGGACAUGUGGACAGUAUGGGAGUGAGAAUGUUGGCAUGAGUAGCGAGAUGUGGGUGAGAAUCCCACAGGCCGUAAACCCAAGGUUUCCAGGGGAAGGUUCGUCCGCCCUGGGUUAGUCGGGACCUAAGCUGAGGCCGAAAGGCGUAGGUGAUGGACAACAGGUUGAUAUUCCUGUACUACCGAUAACCGUUUGAGAGAAGGGAUGACACAGUAGGAUAAGCUAAGCACACUGUUGGUUAUGUGUGCCCAAGCAUUGAGGCAGUCAAAGUAGGCAAAUCCGCUUUGAUAAUGCUGGGAUGUGAUGGGGAGCGAAAUUUAGUAGCGAAGUAGCUGAUUUCACACUGUCAAGAAAAGUCUCUAUCGAGGUUAAAGGUACCCGUACCGCAAACCGACACAGGUGGGUGAGGAGAGUAUCCUAAGGCCAGCGAGAGAACUGUUGUUAAGGAACUCGGCAAAAUGACCCCGUAACUUAGGGAUAAGGGGUGCCACCAUCCGGUGGCCGCAGAGAAUAGGCCCAAGCGACUGUUUACCAAAAACAUAGGUUUCUGCUAAGUCGCAAGACGAUGUAUAGGAGCUGACGCCUGCCCGGUGCUGGAAGGUUAAGGGGAUCUGUUAGAGCAAUCGAAGCAGUGAACUUAAGCCCCAGUAAACGGCGGCCGUAACUAUAACGGUCCUAAGGUAGCGAAAUUCCUUGUCGGGUAAGUUCCGACCCGCACGAAAGGCGUAACGAUUUGGGCACUGUCUCAACAACAGACUCGGUGAAAUUGUAAUUCCGGUGAAGAUGCCGGAUACCUGCGACAGGACGGAAAGACCCCAUGGAGCUUUACUGUAGCUUGACAUUGGGUCUUGGUACUACAUGUACAGGAUAGGUGGGAGGCUUUGAAACCAGGACGCCAGUUUUGGCGGAGCCAUCCUUGGGAUACCACCCUUGUAGUACUGGGACUCUAACCAUAGGCCAUGAAUCUGGUCUUGGGACACUGUCAGGUGGGCAGUUUGACUGGGGCGGUCGCCUCCCAAAAGGUAACGGAGGCGCUCAAAGGUUCUCUCAGUACGGUCGGAAAUCGUACGUAGAGUGUAAAGGCAAAAGAGAGCUUGAUUGCAAGACAUACAGGUCGAGCAAGGAUGAAAAUCGGACUUAGUGAUCCGGUGGUUCUGCGUGGAAGGGCCAUCGCUCAACGGAUAAAAGCUACCCUGGGGAUAACAGGCUUAUCUCCCCCAAGAGUCCACAUCGACGGGGAGGUUUGGCACCUCGAUGUCGGCUCAUCACAUCCUGGGGCUGUAGUAGGUCCCAAGGGUUGGGCUGUUCGCCCAUUAAAGUGGUACGCGAGCUGGGUUCAGAACGUCGUGAGACAGUUCGGUCCCUAUCCGUCGCAGGCGUAGGAAAUUUGAGAAGACCUGUCCUUAGUACGAGAGGACCGGGAUGGACGUACCUCUGGUGUACCAGUUGUUCUGCCAAGGGCAUGGCUGGGUAGCUAUGUACGGAAUGGAUAAGCGCUGAAAGCAUCUAAGCGCGAAGCCAACUUCAAGAUAAGAUUUCCCACCGCAAGGGUAAGACCCCAGAAAGACUAUCUGGUUGAUAGGUCGAAGGUGUAAGUGCAGCAAUGUAUUUAGCUUAUCGAUACUAAUAGGUCGAGGACUUGACCAA